UCAUCACUCCAGAUUGCUGAGGAUGCACAGGAAUGGUAGGACAUUAGAUCAAAAGCGGUCGGUUGCCUCUUAAAUUGAGCCGUGAUGAAAUAAUGGUUUUUGUAUAUAUUGGUUAAAAGACUCGUGACUCUCAUCUAUGUUUAUCAGAUCUGUAUGUUGCUGCGUCUUCGUUGAGCAAAUGUUCCACUACAGUGCUCUCCAGGUUGUCGUUUAUUUCUAAAAGCUUGGUUGCGUAAUGGAGUGUUUUUCAUGAGUUGAAAAACUGUUCGGCUGAUGCUGUAUUGUUUGCUUGUGAAUGAUUUUUCUAAAUUUAUGUUAUUAGACAACAAACAUCUUC
RNAcentral lists this unclassified non-coding RNA (337 nucleotides) under Hevea brasiliensis (rubber tree). Lineage: Eukaryota; Viridiplantae; Streptophyta; Magnoliopsida; Malpighiales; Euphorbiaceae. The record is from RNAcentral.